UAGGGAAUCUUCCACAAUGGGAGAAAGCCUGAUGGAGCAACGCCGCGUGUGUGAUGAAGGGUUUCGGCUCGUAAAACACUGUUGUAAGAGAAGAAUGACAUUGAGAGUAACUGUUCAAUGUGUGACGGUAUCUUACCAGAAAGGAACGGCUAAAUACGUGCCAG
RNAcentral lists this ribosomal RNA (164 nucleotides) under uncultured bacterium. RNAcentral describes it as "partial 16S rRNA". It matches the Rfam family "Bacterial small subunit ribosomal RNA", at positions 355 to 511 of the family's 1533-position model. The record is from RNAcentral.